CAUUUUACUACUCUCCGAGUCACAUCAGCCUACCAGGGAAAAAUCCUCACGGCCUGUGACCUGCGGGUGUCGCCGGAAACAGCGCCGCCCUCCUUUGAAAAGGGGAACUUGUACUUGACGU
RNAcentral lists this non-coding RNA (121 nucleotides) under Geobacteraceae bacterium. Its description in RNAcentral is "MoCo sequence". It matches the Rfam family "Molybdenum/Tungsten riboswitch aptamer (Moco RNA motif)". The record is from RNAcentral. Lineage: Bacteria; Pseudomonadati; Thermodesulfobacteriota; Desulfuromonadia; Geobacterales; Geobacteraceae.